UCGAGAAUUUUUCACAAUGGGGGAAACCCUGAUGGAGCGACGCCGCGUGGAGGAUGAAGGCCUUCGGGUCGUAAACUCCUGUCAUGCGAGAACAAGAAAGUGAUAGUAUCGCAAGAGGAAGGGACGGCUAACUUCGUGCCAGCAGCCGCGGUAAUACGAAGGUCCCAAGCGUUGUUCGGAAUCACUGGGCGUAAAGGGUGCGUAGGCGGUUUGGUAAGUCAGAUGUGAAAUCCCGGGGCUCAACCCCGG
This 249-nucleotide ribosomal RNA is filed under the name uncultured Luteolibacter sp. Its description in RNAcentral is "partial 16S ribosomal RNA". It matches the Rfam family "Bacterial small subunit ribosomal RNA", at positions 355 to 618 of the family's 1533-position model. The record is from RNAcentral. Lineage: Bacteria; Pseudomonadati; Verrucomicrobiota; Verrucomicrobiia; Verrucomicrobiales; Verrucomicrobiaceae.